Oncorhynchus tshawytscha (Chinook salmon) is the source of this 464-nucleotide long non-coding RNA. The record is from Ensembl. NCBI's taxonomy places the organism in Eukaryota, Metazoa, Chordata, Actinopteri, Salmoniformes, Salmonidae.
UAAUUAGGUUAGUUAAUUAGUUUAAAUGUUUUUAUUUAUUAAUUAGGUUAGAAUAAUUAGGUCCAGCAGUCCAGUUCACCUCUGUGACGCGGCAGGAACGUGCUGAGAAGUGACAAUAUGCACCUGGAGAGGUACACGCCCACUAAACACCACUUAGCACCUGGAGAGGUACACGCCCACUAAACACCACUUAGCACCUGGAGUUAUAUACGCCCACUAAACACCACUUAGCACCUGGAGAGGUACACGCCCACUAAACACCACUUAGCACCUGGAGAGGUACACGCCCACUAAACACCACUUAGCACCUGUACACGCCCACUAAACACCACUUAGCACCUGGAGAGGUACACGCCCACUAAACACCACUUAGCACCUGUACACGCCCACUAAACACCACUUAGCACCUGGAGAGGUACACGCCCACUAAACACCACUUAGCACCUGGAGAGGUACACGCCCAC